This 253-nucleotide ribosomal RNA is filed under the name uncultured bacterium. RNAcentral's name for it is "partial 16S ribosomal RNA". It matches the Rfam family "Bacterial small subunit ribosomal RNA", at positions 524 to 776 of the family's 1533-position model. The record is from RNAcentral.
UACAGAGGAGCCAAGCGUUGUCCGGAUUGACUGGGCGUAAAGCGCACGCAGGCGGGGGCGCGCGUGGGGUGGGAAAUCUGGCCGCUUAACGGCCAGGCGCCAUCCCAUACGGCGCGUCUGGAGCCUUGCAGAGGUCGGUGGAAUUGCCGGUGUAGUGGUGAAAUGCGUAGAGAUCGGCAGGAACACCCAGGGGGAAACCAGCCGACUGGGCAAGUGCCGACGCUGAGGUGCGAGAGCGUGGGGAGCGAACCGG